GAAAGAUUACAGUUUAUAAAAGUCAUUUGCGACAAAUACAAUGUUGACAGACUUGGGAUUAAAUCGCACUGAUUCAAUAAAAGAAAUUAUGGAAAAGCCAGUGGAUCGCUGGAGAGAGACCCGACGAGAACCCUGACUGUUUUCAACAGAGAUAGAAGAAAAGAAGAAAACACAGCAAACGGAAGCUUGACAAUAAAGAGUGAUGGACAAGGAGGAAGCCAGCUUGCUGUUAGACAGGGAAGCCAUUUAGCUGUUUAGCAGCUAAAUGUUUUUUUUCUUUUCUGAUUUUGAAUCACGCAUUAUAAAAAACGGGAAGUAAAACAAUUUAAGUUAUA
Nematostella vectensis (starlet sea anemone) is the source of this 335-nucleotide long non-coding RNA. RefSeq lists it as uncharacterized. The record is from RefSeq and is a predicted model, not a curated record. The transcript is spliced from 2 exons. Lineage: Eukaryota; Metazoa; Cnidaria; Anthozoa; Actiniaria; Edwardsiidae.